AUUGAACGCUGGCGGCAGGCCUAACACAUGCAAGUCGAACGGUAACAGGAAACAGCUUGCUGUUUCGCUGGCGAGUGGCGGACGGGUGAGUAAUGUCUGGGAAACUGCCUGAUGGAGGGGGAUAACUACUGGAAACGGUAGCUAAUACCGCAUAACGUCGCAAGACCAAAGAGGGGGACCUUCGGGCCUCUUGCCAUCGGAUGUGCCCAGAUGGGAUUAGCUAGUAGGUGGGGUAACGGCUCACCUAGGCGACGAUCCCUAGCUGGUCUGAGAGGAUGACCAGCCACACUGGAACUGAGACACGGUCCAGACUCCUACGGGAGGCAGCAGUGGGGAAUAUUGCACAAUGGGCGCAAGCCUGAUGCAGCCAUGCCGCGUGUAUGAAGAAGGCCUUCGGGUUGUAAAGUACUUUCAGCGGGGAUGAAGGGAGUAAAGUUAAUACCUUUGCUCAUUGACGUUACCCGCAGAAGAAGCACCGGCUAACUCCGUG
Molecule: ribosomal RNA, 490 nt
Filed under: uncultured bacterium
Lineage: Bacteria
Description: partial 16S ribosomal RNA
Rfam family: Bacterial small subunit ribosomal RNA
Source: RNAcentral